This 470-nucleotide ribosomal RNA is filed under the name uncultured bacterium. RNAcentral describes it as "partial 16S ribosomal RNA". It matches the Rfam family "Bacterial small subunit ribosomal RNA", at positions 28 to 506 of the family's 1533-position model. The record is from RNAcentral.
GACGAACGCUGGCGGCGUGCUUAACACAUGCAAGUCGAACGAUGAAGCGGUGCUUGCACCGUGGAUUAGUGGCGAACGGGUGAGUAAUACGUGAGUGACCUACCUUUGACUCUGGGAUAAGCCUGGGAAACUGGGUCUAAUACCGGAUACGACCAAUCUCUGCAUGGGGUGUUGGUGGAAAGCGUUAUGGAGUGGUUUUAGAUGGGCUCACGGCCUAUCAGCUUGUUGGUGAGGUAAUGGCUUACCAAGGCGACGACGGGUAGCCGGCCUGAGAGGGUGACCGGCCACACUGGGACUGAGACACGGCCCAGAGUCCUACGGGAGGCAGCAGUGGGGAAUAUUGCACAAUGGGCGCAAGCCUGAUGCAGCGACGCCGCGUGAGGGAUGACGGCCUUCGGGUUGUAAACCUCUGUUAGCAUCGAAGAAGCGAAAGUGACGGUAGGUGCAGAGAAAGCGCCGGCUAACUACGU